This is a long non-coding RNA of Aedes aegypti (yellow fever mosquito), 489 nucleotides long. RefSeq lists it as uncharacterized. The transcript is spliced from 3 exons. Lineage: Eukaryota; Metazoa; Arthropoda; Insecta; Diptera; Culicidae. The record is from RefSeq and is a predicted model, not a curated record.
GAUUGUGCGUAAGUUUUUGAUCACUGAGUAUAUUAUUUUUUAGCGUGCAUUUUUCUGUGCCUCUUUCGAGACCGUGAAAAAAACAACAACCAGAGCCUCGGUCGCGAAAAGUUUGUUCCGUUUUUUCCUUCAAGGAUGCAGAAAAACAGCGAUGGGACAUUGUGCGGCCUACGGCUUGAGGAAACAGUUCAACGAACCGUUCAACAAAAGGAAAAUUGAAGACCCGGCUACCGUCCCGGCUACAGUUUGGGCCACAAGAAAAAUACGCAUCAAAAACGAUUUCAAACCACGUCCGUAGAAACAUCUUCCUGUUACACCGACGGACUUGUACCCUGGCAGCAGCAUCACCAGAACACCAUCUAAGACCGACCGACGAUUGUUUUGUAAUUUUCGAGCUUCUGAAUGCUCAACGGGAACGAGCAGGACGGAUAAUGAAAAUUCUGAUUUAAGCUCAAGUUUUGUGUUUAUAAAUAAUAUAACAUAAUGAAA